RNAcentral lists this ribosomal RNA (497 nucleotides) under uncultured bacterium. Its description in RNAcentral is "partial 16S ribosomal RNA". It matches the Rfam family "Bacterial small subunit ribosomal RNA", at positions 28 to 507 of the family's 1533-position model. The record is from RNAcentral.
GAUGAACGCUGGCGGCGUGCUUAACACAUGCAAGUCGCGCGACCGCGUGAGAAGCUCUCUCCUCUGCUGUUAGCGGCGGACGGGCGAGUAACAAGCGCGUAACCAACCUACACGUCUGCGCGAACUUACGGGAACCGGAGCUAAUACCGGCUGUUUGUUUUAAAUUCACGGUUUAAGAGUGAAAGAAGGUCUUGCUGUCACUUAUAGAUGGAUCCGCGCUGCUUUAGCUAGUUGGUAAGUUAACGGCUUACCAAGGCAACGAUGCAUAGCCGACCUGAGAGGGUGAUCAGCCACACUGGAACUGAGACGCGGUCCAGACUCCUACGGGAGGCAGCGGUAGGGAAUCUUCCACAAUGGGCGAAGGCCUGACGGAGCAACGCCGCGUGGGUGAUAAAGGUCUUCGGCUCUUAGAACUCUGUUGUUAGGAAGGAACAUAAGUGUGAGUAACUGUGCACCUCUUGACGGUACCUAAUCAGAAAGCCCCGGCUAACUACGUG